Molecule: ribosomal RNA, 372 nt
Filed under: uncultured bacterium
Lineage: Bacteria
Description: bacterial SSU rRNA
Rfam family: Bacterial small subunit ribosomal RNA
Source: RNAcentral
GUAUGGGGCAAGCGUUAUCCGGAUUUAUUGGGCGUAAAGAGCGCGUAGGCGGAUUGUUAAGUCAGAUGUGAAAUCCGGGGGCUCAACCCGCGGUCUGCAUCUGAAACUGGCAGUCUUGAGUCUGGUAGAGGAAAGUGGAAUUCCCAGUGUAGCGGUGAAAUGCGCAGAUAUUGGGAGGAACACCAGUGGCGAAGGCGGCUUUCUGGGCCACGACUGACGCUGAGGCGCGAAAGCUAGGGGAGCAAACAGGAUUAGAUACCCUGGUAGUCCUAGCCGUAAACGAUGGGCACUAGGUGUGGGGGGUCAUCAACUCCCUCCGUGCCGCAGCUAACGCAUUAAGUGCCCCGCCUGGGGAGUACGGCCGCAAGGCUA